AGGAUUAACGCUGGCGGCGUGCCUAACACAUGCAAGUCGAACGAGGUAGCAAUACCUAGUGGCAGACGGGUGAGUAACGCGUGGUCAACCUACCGUUGAGUGGGGGAUAACUAGCCGAAAGGUUAGCUAAUACCGCAUACGAGUUUCGGGGGCAUCCCUGAUUCUUAAAAGGAGCAAUCCGCUCGAUGACGGGACCGCGUCCCAUUAGCUAGAUGGUGGGGUAACGGCCUACCAUGGCACCGAUGGGUAGCUGGUUUGAGAGAGCGACCAGCCACACUGGGACUGAGAAACGGCCCAGACUCCUACGGGAGGCAGCAGUGAGGAAUUUUCCGCAAUGGGCGAAAGCCUGACGGAGCGACGCCGCGUGUGGGAAGAAGGUUUUCGGAUCGUAAACUGCUUUCUCGGGGAAGAGAACGGACGGUACCCGAGGAAUCGAGCCCCGGCUAACUACGUGCCAGCAGCCGC
This 465-nucleotide ribosomal RNA is filed under the name uncultured bacterium. Its description in RNAcentral is "SSU rRNA". It matches the Rfam family "Bacterial small subunit ribosomal RNA", at positions 26 to 518 of the family's 1533-position model. The record is from RNAcentral.